UGAACGCUGGCGGCAGCCUAACACAUGCAAGUCGAACGGUAACAGGAUGCGCUUGCACAUCGCUGACGAGUGGCGGACGGGUGAGUAAUGCUUGGGAACUUGCCUUUGCGAGGGGGAUAACAGUUGGAAACGACUGCUAAUACCGCAUAAUGUCUACGGACCAAACGGGGCUUCGGCUCCGGCGCAAAGAGAGGCCCAAGUGAGAUUAGCUAGUUGGUAAGGUAACGGCUUACCAAGGCGACGAUCUCUAGCUGUUCUGAGAGGAAGAUCAGCCACACUGGGACUGAGACACGGCCCAGACUCCUACGGGAGGCAGCAGUGGGGAAUAUUGCACAAUGGGGGAAACCCUGAUGCAGCCAUGCCGCGUGUGUGAAGAAGGCCUUAGGGUUGUAAAGCACUUUCAGUUGUGAGGAAAAGUUAGUAGUUAAUACCUGCUAGCCGUGACGUUAACAACAGAAGAAGCACCGGCUAACUCCGUGCCAACAGCCGCGGUAAUAC
Molecule: ribosomal RNA, 498 nt
Filed under: uncultured bacterium
Lineage: Bacteria
Description: bacterial SSU rRNA
Rfam family: Bacterial small subunit ribosomal RNA
Source: RNAcentral